AACAACUAAAACCCUAACUAACAACAAAACUCUUGGAAUCAAAAACACCCGAAAAAGAUGAAAGUUACAAACACCCGAGAAAGGAACAACAGGGACAAAAAUCUAGUUGAAACACAAGAUGAAGAACAUGUUGAUUUACAAGACCGAAUUGGUAGGUCAAAAGAAUCUUAGAAGAAAAGAAGAAAGGAGGUUCGGAAAUCACCAGAAAAGACCCAACAAGAUCAUCAGAAUGAAUUUCAUAUUAUUUCCUCUGGAGAUGAUGACUGCUUAAUUGGAAUGAAAAGAAAGAAAAACAAAAGAAGCCCUUGCCGCAGAAGGGGGAUGGACAGUGGCUGCAUACCACAAGGGUAGGAAGAAAACAACAGACUCUGAAAGUGGUAUUGCCGUGGGAUCAGUUGCCCAAGCCGCUGUGGAGAAUAAAUUGGACAAAAAGAAACCUAAAGAAGUUGGUUUAGAUUUCUACUGUUUUAAAAAAAGAGAAGCUCAGAGAAACGGUAUAGCUUAUUUUUCAUAAUGUUUUGCCAUAUUUUUAUAUCCCAGGUAAUGCUUAACCAUUUUUUAUCAUAAAAGUUGUUUAUUUUUGUUAAAACAAUAGUUUUUGAAUUUAAACCAAUGAUGUUGGUUUAAAAUAAAAGAAAAGCAUAGUAUUAAUUAGUGGGGGUUCUAUCAAAAUUUGCACCGACAUGGAAAAGAUCUUAUAGCUGAUGUUAUUUGUGUUUCUUUUAGAAAUACAUCAACAAGUGAUAAACCUAAUUAAAGGUAUAGAUAGAUAUUGAAGAAUAAUGAAUCUGAUUAAAAGAAACAUCAAACAAAGACAUCAACAAUUCAGUCAGUUUGCAGAACAAGUGUCAAUCAGUUGCAUUACUUGUUCUGCAAACUGACUGAAUUGUUAGUUCUGCAACUGAUUGACAGCUCAGUGUAGUUAGUUAUACAGCUCCGCAUAGUUGGUUAGUUGACUUGUAACGAACUUUUCAGCUCAUAAUGAUUGUAAUCUAGCUAGAUGGUAGUUACAUAGAUUAGAUUCAUUGUUGUAUAUAAGUUUUAUCAAUGUACUCUUUGCAACUUAACAAGUUCAUUUUCCACAUUAUUUGCUUGUUCAUUUUCUAUUCUUAGUUUCUUCAUAAUAGUUAUGUGCAUUAGGGUAUCCUAUCUGUUCUGUGGUAUUCCUCGCUUCUCUUUCUAGUCUUUACACAGGCAAGUAAGGUUUAAGAUGUUCAUGAAUCCUAGGAACUGAUUCACAACCUGUCAUCCAGUAAAUUAAGAUGUUUCGCUCAAAAACACUAGCAAGUAAGGUUUCUGGAUGUUCAUGAAAUGAUUGUUAUCUGGUUCGUUGGAACACCGUCAAAAUUUUAUGAUUUUAUGUGAGACUCGUGCUUUACCCUUUUUCUUUUUCCUCAAACAAUAGAUGCUUUCUUAAACUAGUGCUUGUCAACAUUCAAAAUCGACUUUGAUUGAUGAUCAAACUGAAAUAAACCAUUCAUGCUUUGCUUGCAGAAAUAAUGGAAUUGCAGGGAAAAUUUGAGGAGGAUAAAAAACGUCUUCAACAGUUGAGAGCUGCCAGAAAAUUUAGACCUUAUUAAAUUAUGUUCAUAGCAGCCAAGGUUGACGGUUCUUUUCUUUGGGUGAAGAUUAUAUUUCUGAAGUCCUGCAGUUGAAAAUACUAUAGUCCUGAAAAUUUUAGCUUAUUUAUCAUUCCAAUUUUGUGGCAAAUAUUUGUAAAUGCAAAAUUUAAUUUGAAAAUAUUUGAAAAACUUGGAGGAUGUAGUUAUUUUAAUGAGUCAAUAAUAUGUCCUAAUCCUUAACUAUGGAGGAAGUAGUUAUUGAAUCCUUAAGGUAAAGUAAUUCCAGGUGUGGUGAUUUUAUAUCACAAAUACACAAUAUUUAAGCACGAUAACGUUACACAAUGACGUGAAGGUUCAGUCACCUCUGCUUAAUUGUAAAAUUAAUAAAGCACCACAUUUUGAGUUGAACAACACACACAUUGCGCUGAGGUUUCCUGCGUGAUGACCAAUGAACCAUAGGUUAAGGUUUGAAUUAUGUAUUGGCGAUUUCAUUCAAGAUUUUGCUUCACUUAAUACUUAUACUGUUAUACUGCACACGUAGGUUUGGGAACCAGAUCCUCUCAAAGUUCAUCGCUAGACUCUCACAAUUGCGUGAAUGUUAAAAUGUUCAGAGUGAAAAUUGUGUGUUCAACAAAUUAAAACGUUAAAAUGCAAUUUUUUGUCCUUUUUUCAAUCGUUA
This is an RNA transcript of Medicago truncatula (barrel medic), 2241 nucleotides long. It is a transcript of the gene named ribosomal RNA-processing protein 7 homolog A, with no coding region annotated. NCBI's taxonomy places the organism in Eukaryota, Viridiplantae, Streptophyta, Magnoliopsida, Fabales, Fabaceae. The record is from RefSeq and is a predicted model, not a curated record. The transcript has 3 exons.